GGGGACACAGAAGCUCCUCCUCUGCUGCAUUCCCCAGGACAGAGAGCUGGGAGCACCUCCUGCACUGCCUCACCAUGGGCACCAGCCUGCCAGCCUGCGUGUCCCUGUGUCUCCUUUGGAUGGACCUGUGCCCUCAGUAGGGAGAUGAUGCCUGGGGCUGCUCCCCUGGACUCUGCCCCAGGCCCCAGGCUCCUCUGUGGUGUUGUCCUGUGUCUCCUGGGAGCAGGUGUGGUGCAUGCUGGGGUCCUCCAGUCCCCCAGACACCUGAUCAAAGCCAAGGGAGGAAAGGCCACUCUGCAGUGCUCUCCUGACUCUGGACAUGAUGCUGUGUACUGGUACCAGCAGGCCGAGGACCAGAGCCUCCAGUUCCUCAUUUCCUAUUUUCGAGAGUCAGAGAGAGAUAAAGGAAGCAUCCCUGGCCGCUUCUCAGCUCGGCAGUUCAGUGACUAUCACUCUGAGCUGAACAUGAGCGCCUUGGAGCUGAGGGACUCCGCGCUGUAUCUGUGUGCCAGCAGCUUGCACAGCCCUGCACAGGGACUGGCUUUCUCUACCCAAACCUUCCUGCCCCAGCUGAAGAUGGCACUGAGGGAAGGCGGGGGGGACUGAGGCCCAGCCUUAGUAAACCCCAGGAGCCCUCUCCAGCUGUGAUAACCCUUCUCUGUUCUGCCCAGCUCAGACAGUUUAUGAGCUCUGUAUUUCCUAACUCCCUGGACCG
This is a non-coding RNA of Dipodomys spectabilis (banner-tailed kangaroo rat), 715 nucleotides long. NCBI's taxonomy places the organism in Eukaryota, Metazoa, Chordata, Mammalia, Rodentia, Heteromyidae. The record is from the annotation of a RefSeq genome assembly.